GGUCUUUAUGUUUUUGAAGUGUACUGAUAUUUCUAAAUGAAGAUAACUUCAAGUGCAAAUUAUUCUUAGCUUGAAAAUGUGUUUGUUUUGAGAAAAAUCAUCUGAAAAGUGUGAUUAAAGGGUGUUUGAAAUUUCCUGAUUUUUUGUCAACGGGGGACACAUAUUCGCCGUUUUUACACAUCUAUUUUAAACCAAAUAACUGCAGCUUUAAAACAAUAUUUAUCAAAUAAAUUUCAUUAUAGAUGAAUAGCAGACAUUUGAAAGGUGUAAAAAACUGAAAUUUAGAGCAAUCAGUCAAAGAAUUACUAAGAAAUACUUAUUUGAAUUUUUUUUUUUCAUUCAGGAAAUUUGCUGAAAAUCAUUGUCCGUUUUUCGGUCCUUUGCGGUUAGUGCUGAAAUUUUGUCUCAUUUUCAAAAAUAACCAUAUUUGUUUUAAAAAUAUAAUUUAACGGCAUAUUUCUUCCAAACCAACCAUCCUUUGAAGUUUUUACACCUCAAAAUCAUAAAACGGCGAAAUUGUGUCCACGGCGAAUAUGGGCGCCCCACUCUACAUGAUACAUGUACAAAUCUAUGCGUUGGAUAAAUUUCACGGGGGGGGGGUCUCUUCCUAUAUAAAGGUAUAUACAUAUGUGCCGCUGGAAUGGGUCCCUUUUUUGAUCCGUCAAAUAUAUCAAUGGGGUGCAAUUUUACCGAGGAAAUAUAUCAAUAGGUAGUAAUUGACCGAUUGUGAUAUAUCAAUUGGUGAUAAAUAUAUGAAUGGGUUAUGAUUUCGCUGUGAAAUAUAUGUAUAGGUAGGGAUUUCACAAUUAUUCAAUAUAUGAAUGGGGGGUGUUUUUAAAAUCCCAGCUGCACACCUGUACCCAAAAUCCCAUGUUGAGACCCCCCCGUGAUAAAUUU
RNAcentral lists this long non-coding RNA (897 nucleotides) under Mytilus galloprovincialis (Mediterranean mussel). The record is from RNAcentral. Lineage: Eukaryota; Metazoa; Mollusca; Bivalvia; Mytilida; Mytilidae.